This 257-nucleotide unclassified non-coding RNA is filed under the name Hevea brasiliensis (rubber tree). Lineage: Eukaryota; Viridiplantae; Streptophyta; Magnoliopsida; Malpighiales; Euphorbiaceae. The record is from RNAcentral.
CACCCGAUCUUGGAUCAGCUGUCUGUCUCUUGGCCUUGGCCUUUGGUUAUCACCGUGUUUGACCCUUCUUUUGGUGACCGUUGUCUUGUGUCCUUUCCGAGGCUGUGUGCCAUCGGAUUCAUUGUCAUGCUGUUCCGUGCUAAAAAUUGCGUCCAUCAUGCUCCUUAAAGUACUUGAAGAACUAUCAGCAAUCUCGUCCCCAAUAAUACAUGCAGAUUUAAGAUGCCUACAUAGUGUUGAAUCAUCCUUCACCAAGG